UGGUACAUUUAUAAGCUUCCAAUCUCCAUAACUUACUCAACUUAUUAGACUGUGCAAUCAAGAUUUUGCUUCAGUUCAGAUAAUCAUCUCAAACAACAAUGUAGAUGUGUCGUGAUCUGAAUUUAUGAGAUUCGAUUUCAUUAGGAAGAGAUGCCACGAAGAUUUUGAAGAUGCCGGGCACAGCAAAACUGCGAGGGAGGAAAUGGAAGCCUUCUGCAUUGGAGAGCUUGACACCACCUCCUUGGAUAUUCCAGAGCUCGAGAUUUUCUCCAAGAAUCAGCCAACUGAUUAUCCAAAGAAGCUCGUGGACUUGACAAAGCGAUACUGGGCUGUUCCUGCGGCUGUUGUUGGCAUCUCCGUGGUUGUCGCGGUCUUGCACUUGCGCAAGAAGUAACCAUCGGAUACAAUUUGCCCUUGGUAUACGACUUAAAGGGAGAGUUCUUCACAAUUUUGAAUGAUUAGGAGAAAACAGCAACUGAGAGAACUGCCCCAUUUUUAUCUAGAUUUUCAUGAUUAUAUUAUUAUUACAAACUAUAUGGAGAUUGUAUGUCAUUGAAGUUAGGGGAAACCCAUGGCUUCUGUGUUUGUGAGUCUCCAUUGUUGAAAGAUGGAAAAUUACACUAAAAUGUGCUUUAUUGAAUGUUUAGUGUCCUUUUAGUGAUAAGAGCUUUUACUUUGAUUGAAGUUAAAACUUGGCGCUAUAUUUUUAGCAAAGUUGUCGAUAAUACAUGUACGUACUUGAUUGAAGUUGAAAACACUAAACCAUUUAGCAAAGUUGCCAACUAAAGUAUAUUGUAGAAUAAUACACGUACAUUUGAUCGAGGUUAUUUUUUUGGUUUUUUGAUACAAUUAUAUUUUUUACAACAAAGUGUGAGGAAUAAAUUAGUUUUGAACUUAUCACUCACGUCAUUUAAACUUAAAACCUUGUUUACAACUUAUAAGUAAAUAGGAAUAAUUUAGAUUGUACUAUACAAUAAGACGAUGACAAGACAAUAAUACUUAAGUGAUACAUAUUUUGCUUGAAGUUCAAAUACACUAAAAUGUGAAUCAACUAAAAAUUUAAACAGAAGCUUUAAGGGAAAAGAUCUUUGCUUUUAUAAAAAAAAAAAAAAAAAAAAAAAAGGAAAUUAAAUUGUAGAGCCUAAAUAACAUCGAACUUCAACGAUCUGAGUUCUACACGUCCUGAAGUUUAAAAAGCAAAACGAAGGUAUUAUAGAAUACCUUAUAUUCUCAAAGCACAGCAAUACACAAACAAACAAACAACAACAACUUCCGCCGGGUUCGAACCCAUGACCUAUUGGAUUCGUAAAUCGCUCAAACCCCACAACGUACAUGGGUACUGGGGAUAAAGCUCUCAAAUGUGAAUUUAUUUAUACAGACUUUUGAGAAUGUGGAUUGAAUUUCUGAGGGCUUGGGUGGGCAUUGUUAGCAAAGCCGAAUUCUCUUUGCUCGUCUGGUUCAGUUACAUGUACAACUAGCACACUAAACAUUUUCUUUUAAUAUAAUGAUAUAUUUACAUUAAAGAAUAAGUAAAUGAAUUGGUAUCUUUUUUUUUUUGUUAGACUAAGUGCUAGAUUAGGAAGCCGACAGGGUUCGAACCCACACCGUGAUGUAAGGGCAACACUCAUCUCCAUCACUGUGGUAGAGGGCCACUUGCAAAUGAACUAGAAUCAAACUCUUCAUCUGCGAGAUUUGGACAUGAGACAUCUCACUCUCAAGUGAAAAACUAAUACCAUUAAACCGUAAUACUAAAUAAUCAUUGACCUUGUUUUAAAUACAAUAAAAGCGAAGCCUAGAAUGUACACAUAAUGAAGUUUUGUAGUUGGAGAAAAUCCGUAACAACCUACUUGAAUUUUAAGAAGCUUAGGUUAUGUUCGUGAACGUUUUGCAAAAUUGUUUUUCGUUUUGCAUAUACAAUAACGAGUGAAAAAUGUGUUCGGCAAACUGUUUUCUAAAAAUAAAUUCAUAAAACAAUAUUUAACCUGAGUUUUGUUGAACAUCAAAUUGGCGUUUCCCUUAUUUUUCAAGAUCAAUUUUUGAAAUAAUGGAAAAUAAAGAUACAUUAUAAAACAAAAUUAGAGUUUAAUUAAAAAAUAAAAUCAUGUAUGUCGCCACUACUAUCACUAUUGCCACAAUGACCACCACAACACUCUCCACCAUCUCACCACCAUUGCCACCAUCUUUGACACUAUCACCUCCCACCACCAUCAUCUUCAUUGCCAUCUCACCAUGACCACCACCAUAUGCGCCUUCUUCUCCACCAUCGCUAUCCCACCACCACCGUCACUUUGCCACCAUCUAUAUAUAUAUAUAUAUUAGGCAUUUAGUGAUAUUGUUUAAAGAUUUGCAAAAAUUCUGUCUAUGUGUGCGUUUCCAACUUUCCAAAUAUAUAUAUAUAUAUAUAUAUAUAUAUAUAUAUAUAUAUAUAUAUAUAUAUAUAUAUAUAUAUAUAAUCUUAAAAGACAUGCUCCUUGAAAAUAGUAUCACGGGGUUUAACUAAACAAUAAAUAAAUAAAAAAUACACUAUCAUGUUUUGUCCCAUAACUAGAAUACAAAACCCUUCAAAACAUUGAUAGCCAUAGAAGCCCUCCAAAAAAUUGAUAGCAACACUCCCCAAGCAUUACCCAUUUGUUAAAUUGGGAAGGAGAGAGGGAAAGAGAGAGAACGGUAAGAAUUUAUUUAUUUAAUAUUAGAGAUAUACUAGAAUCACACGUGAAAAAAGUCAAAUUUAGUUUAUGUGAAAUUACAUUACUGUCCAUGAUUUUAUUUUGUGAUAAAAGAUUAAAUUGUCUUCUAACCACGCGGUUGAUAUGAUCACUCUCACAAAAGCAUGAGAUUAUUUAUGUUUUGGUCUCAACAACUAUACUGGUUUCACAAGGUGUUAGAGCUACUAUACUCAGAAAUCGGCACCAGAUAUUGAAAAAAGCAUGUAACUCAAGCGGUUUCACAUGCACUCGAAAUCUUGUACUCGAAUCACCUCCCAAUAGUACUUGUAUUAAAAGAAUACAAAGGCAUAUAACCCAAGUAGUAAUUAUACACAUCUUGUAUUUUAUUAACUAUGAAGAAAAAUUACUAAAAUGUGCUUUAUUGCAUGUUGAAUGUCCCUUGUUGAUGAGAGUUUUUAUUUUGAUUGAAGUUAAAUAUGAACGCAACUAAAAACUUAUAAAAAAGCAAAACAAAGGUAUUUUAGAAUACCUUAUACUUUCACACUGGUAAUUUCUCGCAGACAUCGUUAGCCUGAACCCUAAACUUUAAACUAGGGGUGGGUUCAAAAACCGAAAACCGAAAAAAACCGAAAACCAAACCGAACCGAAACCGAAAAAACCGAACCGAACAAAAAAACCGAACCGAAUUGAAAAAACCGAACCGAACCGAAUUCUUUUGGUUCGGUUCGGUUUUAGUGAUCUAGAAACCGAACCAAACCGAACCGAACCGAAUUAAUUAAAUUAAUUUUUUUAUUUAAUUAUUUGUUUUGGAUAUUAUUUUCUAAACCCAAUUUGUAAGUUAAAAUAUGCUAAACCCAAUGUGUUGCCAAACUUUAAGCUCAAAAUAUUAAAAAAAAGUCCUAUAAAAACUUUAAACCCUAACCUAUUAUUUAUCCCCCAUAUAAGGUUCCGGAGCCAAACCUCAUCCUGAAGUACCUACAUCCAUCUCCAUAGCACUGUCUACUUUUGUCUCAGCUUUCUUUUCCAAAUCUACUCUCAUAUAACAUGUAACAGAAUCUAUAAACAUUUAUUUCGGGUAGAUUACUUAGGGAAUUUGUGAUGGAAAAGAAUCCAACACACACUAAAUAAAUCCACCCACGCAUUUCUUUUACUAAUCAAGUUGUCAACAUGCAGUUACAAGCAAACAACCCUGAUCUUUGAACAACAUCAUACAAUUUAAUUUUUCUAAGUCAUUUGUACGAUUUUUGUGUUGUGAUGUUGUUAGUUUGGACUUUGGAAGACUUGAUUGAUGAUUUUAGUUCAACUUUAAAUGUUUAUUUUCAUUGUCUUUGAUUAUAGUUAGAAUGCUUGUGUUAUGAUUGUGUUGGAUACGUUAAAAUUUAAAAUUUCAAUGUUUUUCAUUUUUUGAAAGAAAAAAAAAAAAAAAAACCAAAACCGAACCGAAAAAAACCGAACCGAAAAAAAACCGAACCGAAAAAAACCGAAAAAAAAAUGAACCGAACCGAACCGAACCGAAAUUUCGGUUUGGUUUCGGUUUUGGCAAAAAACCGAACCGAAUUAAACCGAACCCACCCCUACUUUAAACCCUACGAUCGAUCUUUAGUCUAUCUGCCAGUUUCGAUCCCAAGACCUAUUGGAUUCAAACAUCACUCACAUCCAACAGCGUACAAGGGAACCAGCCAGGUUAGCUCAAAAAUUAUAUAUUUAAAGGGGAACCACAUUUCUAAGGGCGAACUCCUUUUUAUUCUGAAACUCCAUUCACUUUUGUCUGAGUUGAUCCUAGCAAAUGGAUGUUUUUUUGUCACACUCAUUAUUUUAACAGAUCGUGUCGUGUCAAACUCAUUAUCUUAACGGGUUCUUAAUAGUUGACCCAAGAACGAUCAAACUCGAUAGUAGAUCGACUCAGAACUUGUUACUUUUGUGUCGUUUCGUGUUGGCUUAAAUACUCAUGUAAGAAAUUGUCAUGCCUUAUGUCUAGACUUGGCAAAUGGGUUGUGUUAGUGUCAUUUAUGUUGACAGGUGAUCUAAUAAUAACUCGAAACUUGUAAGAAAUUGUCAUGCUUUAUCUUGACAGGUGAUCUAAUAAUAACUCGAAACUUGUUAUAUUCCACCACCAUUAACACCUCUAUUCUCACCACCACUACUACUCCAACCACCAUUGCUAUUCACACCAUUCUUGUCUCAACCACCAUCGUCACCAUUAUUACCAAACAGAAAUAAGCUUCCAAUCUCCAUAACUCACUCAACUUAUUAGACUGUGCAAUCAAGAUUUUGUUUCAGUUCAGAUAAUCAUCUCAAACAACCACGUAGAUGUGUCGUGAUCUGAAUUUUUGAGAUUCAAUUUCAUUAGGAAGAGAUGCCACCGAAGAUUUUGAAGAUGCCGAGCACAGCAAAACUGCGAGGGAGGAAAUGAAAGCCUUCUGCAUUGGAGAGCUUGACACCACUUCCUUAGAUAUUCCAGAGCUUGAGAUUUUCUCCAAGAAUCAGCCAACCGAUUAUCCAAAGAAGCUCGUGGACUUGACAAAGCGAUACUGGGCUAUUCCUACGGCCGUUGUUGGCAUCUUCGUGGUUGUCGCCGUCUUGCCCUUGCACAAGAAGUAACCAUCGGAUAAAAUUUGCCCUUGUUAUACAACUCAAAGGGAGAGUUCUUCACAAUUUUGAAUAAUUAGGAGAAAACAACAACCGAGAGAACUGCCCCAUUUUUAUCUAGAUUUUCAUGAUUAUAUUAUUAUUACAAAUUAUAUGGAGAUUGUAUGUCAUUGAAAUUAGGGGAAAUCCAUGGCUUCUGUGUUAGUGAGUCCCCAUU
This 5472-nucleotide long non-coding RNA is filed under the name Malus domestica (apple). Its description in RNAcentral is "long non-coding RNA (MDOM_LNC011813)". The record is from RNAcentral. Lineage: Eukaryota; Viridiplantae; Streptophyta; Magnoliopsida; Rosales; Rosaceae.